AGUUUUUAGUCAUAAAAUUAAAAAAAUUGAUAGUUAUCAGUCAAUUUUUUGAAUAUGGUAGUUCAGUAGGACGGGAACCCCUAAUGUGGUAGUUUUUUGUCAAAUACUCCAAGAAUAGAGUUUACACCAUAUACACGUGGUUAGUUUGUUCCUUUUUCUAUUGUCCUGAUUAUAUUCCAUCACAGAUUGAGAAACCAAAAGUGGUCAAGGACUCGAGUUGCAGGGACUACUUAAUUUGUGCAGAAUAUAUUUGAUAUGUUCUGAUCCAUAACAAAAAUAGUAUUCUUCAUUUGAUGGUUUGUUAGAUGUUAUGUGAUAGUUUGUGAGUUGUCCUUCCAUGUAUCUGAACUGUGAUGUGGUUUACAGGGUUAGACUAGGUAAGUCUUCUUUUGGUUCUGCAUCCAAAAUAGCCAUAUGGAUGCAAGUACUUUAGACACGUAUCUGUAAUGAAACUGGUGCAGGUGGUGCUCUGUUACUUGGAAACCAAAAAGGACAUAAACGAAGUGUGCACAUAUAUAAGAAAAAUAUGUCUUCCCAUAAACUAAAACAUCAAGGUUAUACAAAUAGAGAAAAUGAACCAGUGGCCAUCAUGGUGAAAGUAAAAAAAACUUAGGAUUUGGUUGUCUAUCUGAUCCAUAAGUAAGCAAGCAGGGGCCAUGUUGUCAAGGAGGUUAGCCAUCUGUGUUAAACCAGUACUGUAGAGAUGCUGCUAGACUAGAGGCGGUGGUCACUGAUGAGGUGAAAUGGUAAUUUAUGCAGUAACAUCCCAACUGUAAACUGACUAUGAUGUACUACCUCUGUUUCAACUGAUUCCACUGAUAGUGCUUCUAACGGUUCGAGGUUUACCUUUUAUUUUUUAUUGUGACUGCAGAAAAUGGAUGACAUCACCGAACUGAACAUUGCAUAGGAUUUUGAUAACCGAUCUUCAAAAAUAAUAAUUCUGAAUCAGGUAUUUCUGGAGCCAUCACCUAUGUCACCAACUAUGUCAACAUCUACUCCAGUUUCUGAGUGUUUUGAAUUGAUUGUGCCCGAAUCAGAUAAUUAGAUAGAUCGUGAUCCAUUGACAUCACCUCCAUCCCCAUCGAGCUCGACAUUAUCUCAUGUUUUUUCAUUACAUGAUGUCAAGGAACCAGAUUCACAUAAAGAGAUCAAAGUCGAUGAGACAUAUGAUUAUCUCCCACAAGGGAGCCCAAUCGGUGGAAGGUGAUUUGUCAAAGAGAAUUCUAGCAGCCAACAGUUAAUAGACGGUGAGCAGGGAGACAAUGAACAUGUAGAGCUGGAUUUUUUUUAGAAAGCAAAGCUGGAGUUUGGUUUGUCCUUAAGACAUCACUUAAGAAGUUCUUCACCACAUGUAAAUUUUUUUGGAGCUUCCAAGGAUAUACAUUUUUUGGGUUGCCAAUUAUAAGAGUUAAUGGAGUGCUUUAAAAUUUGAUGUUUGUGGGUUCUGAAAUGAUAAUAUUGUGGAAAUUGCAAGCACUACCGUGUCAUGUACUGUCUUGAUCCAUAGUUGUUUGUCAUUGGUUUUAUGUGUUUCCUCUUUCGCUUUUACUAUAACAAGUGCAGAUUGAGUUUCUAUAUAAACAGAAAA
Aegilops tauschii subsp. strangulata is the source of this 1588-nucleotide non-coding RNA. Lineage: Eukaryota; Viridiplantae; Streptophyta; Magnoliopsida; Poales; Poaceae. The record is from RefSeq and is a predicted model, not a curated record.